GAAUGAUACGUUAACGUUAAAGAUCAACAUCAAAGGUUGCACACAAGUUCCGCGACUCUGUCCAAAUGAUAAUUAUGACAAUAAUGUAGUUAAUGUUAACGUUUAAUUCAGACUUACACCGACUUCGCUGGUUUCCCCCUGAUAAGUUUAUUUUGAUGUUCGAUCAAACGGGUAUCGAUUUAGUUCUAAUUUCCCGCGACUCCCAAAACAGACUUCAGCAGUCGAGCUCCGAGGGCUCGAUAAGCCGGAGAAAGGAGGCAUCACCUCCUUUAUCAUGCGGAUGACCCCAAAGACAUUUGUCUCGAACACUUUCUUCAUCUCUUCAAUGGGGAUGCUCUCCACAGGACCCACCAGGCCGAUACCUGCAUUAUUGACUGGUUAGGAGAAGAAGAAAGAAACAAGGGAGACGGGGUGUAAUCAGUGUCAGUUUUAGUCAUUGCAACAAUCAAAGGUGCAGCGUGUUGAGGAUGCAUUCAGUUUUACUUACUAAGAACAUCCACAUGUCGAUCUUUGAUGCCAUUAAUACACUGUUUGACGGACUCAUCGCUGCAGACGUCGAGGACAGCCAGAGAGAGAGUCUUCCCAUAUGCAUCCCCCGCUGCCUCUACCAGCUUAUCUUUACGUUUCAGAUCACGCAUUGUGGCUAUGACUGUGGACAGUUGGAUGACAAGGGAAAAUAAAUAACGAACUGAGUUUGAAAGAGAUCAUUCAAUACCUAUGUAUUACACUGACUUGACAUGUUGUGAUUUUCUUUGGUAACACUUGUUUCUCUUUCUGUCAGGCCUGUAGAAACAUGUUAAUUUGAGCAGACAGAAAAAUGGGAAGAAAUUAUACUAAUAAGCCAUGUAAUUGGAGCUGAAUAAAGCUUUAUAGGAA
Molecule: long non-coding RNA, 876 nt
Organism: Xiphias gladius (swordfish)
Lineage: Eukaryota; Metazoa; Chordata; Actinopteri; Istiophoriformes; Xiphiidae
Exons: 2
Source: RefSeq, a predicted model, not a curated record